This is a non-coding RNA of Pogona vitticeps (central bearded dragon), 340 nucleotides long. NCBI's taxonomy places the organism in Eukaryota, Metazoa, Chordata, Lepidosauria, Squamata, Agamidae. The record is from the annotation of a RefSeq genome assembly.
AUGGCCCAGUGGCUCGUCCUCUUUGCCCUGCUCAGCUACUGCUCAGGUAUCAGUUCCCAGGGAACAGUGACCCAGCCUGCCUCUGCCUCUGCAUCUCUGGGACAAACCGUGAAACUCUCCUGCACCAGAAGCAGUGGUAGCUGGUACAAAUUCCAUUGGUAUCAACAGAAAUCAGGAGGGGCCCCUCGCUAUGUCCACUGUGAUGUUUGCAACAGAGGAGAAGGGAUCCCUGAUCGGUUCACAGCUUCCCAGUCGGGGGAUUCUGGUCAUUUGACCAUCACUGAUGUCCAGGCUGGAGACGAGGCAGUCUAUUAUUGUGCUGCUUGGGAUCGCGAUGGUG